UUAGAGUUUGAUCCUGGCUCAGGAUGAACGCUAGCGGGAGGCUUAACACAUGCAAGUCGAGGGGCAGCACAAGUAUUUAUAUUUGGUGGCGACCGGCGGAUGGGUGAGUAACACGUAUGCAACCUACCAUUUACAGGAGGAUAGCCCGGAGAAAUUCGGAUUAAUACUCCAUGUAUCAAUUAAUUCGCAUGAAUUCUUUGAUAAAGUUUUCAACGGUAUUUGAUGGGCAUGCGUCCCAUUAGCUAGUUGGUAAGGUAACGGCUUACCAAGGCGAUGAUGGGUACGGGGUCUUAAAGGAUGAUCCCGCACACUGGCACUGAGACACGGGCCAGACUCCUACGGGAGGCAGCAGUGAGGAAUAUUGGUCAAUGGGGGAAACCCUGAACCAGCCAUCCCGCGUGCAGGAAGACAGUUCUAGUAAUUGUAAACUGCUUUUAUUAAAGAAGAAUAAGUUUGACUUGUCAAAUGAUGACAGUAUUUAAUGAAUAAGCAUCGGCUAACUCCGUGCCAGCAGCCGCGGUAAUACGGAGGAUGCAAGCGUUAUCCGGAUUUAUUAGGUUUAAAGGGUGUGUAGGCGGGAUAAUAAGUCAGUGGUGAAAGUUUUCAGCUUAACUGGAAAAUUGCCAUUGAAACUGUUUUUCUUGAGUUUGGAUGAGGUAUGCGGAAUGUGUAAUGUAGCGGUGAAAUGCUUAGAUAUUACCCAGAACCCCUAUUGCGAGGGCAGCAUGCUAAUCCAUAACCGACGCUGAUGCACGAAAGCGUGGGGAUCAAACAGGAUUAGAUACCCUGGUAGUCCACGCCGUAAACUAUGAUUACUCGCUGUUGGCGAUACACAGUCAGUGGCUUAGCGAAAGCAUUAAGUAAUCCACCUGGGGAGUACGUUCGCAAGAAUGAAACUCAAAGGAAUUGACGGGGGCCCGCACAAGCGGAGGAACAUGUGGUUUAAUUCGAUGAUACGCGAGGAACCUUACCCGGGCUUAAAUGUAUAUUGCAUGAAGUGGAAACAUUUCUUUCCUUCGGGACUAUUUACAAGGUGCUGCAUGGUUGUCGUCAGCUCGUGCCGUGAGGUGUCGGGUUAAGUCCCAUAACGAGCGCAACCCCUGUUGUCAGUUGCCAGCAUGUAAUGAUGGGGACUCUGACAAGACUGCCGGUGUAAACCGCGAGGAAGGUGGGGAUGACGUCAAAUCAGCACGGCCCUUAUGUCCGGGGCGACACACGUGUUACAAUGGUCGGUACAGCGAGCAGCCACUUGGUGACAAGGAGCUAAUCUCAAAAGCCGAUCUUAGUUCGGAUCGGAGUCUGCAACUCGACUCCGUGAAGCCGGAUUCGCUAGUAAUCGCGCAUCAGACAUGGCGCGGUGAAUACGUUCCCGGGCCUUGCACACACCGCCCGUCAAG
RNAcentral lists this ribosomal RNA (1397 nucleotides) under uncultured bacterium. RNAcentral's name for it is "bacterial SSU rRNA". It matches the Rfam family "Bacterial small subunit ribosomal RNA". The record is from RNAcentral.